CCUACGGGAGGCAGCAGUGGGGAAUUUUGGACAAUGGGGGCAACCCUGAUCCAGCAAUGCCGCGUGAGUGAAGAAGGCCUUCGGGUUGUAAAGCUCUUUUGUCAGGGAAGAAACAGCAGCUCUAACACAGCUGUGAAUGACGGUACCUGAAGAAUAAGCACCGGCUAACUACGUGCCAGCAGCCGCGGUAAUACGUAGGGUGCAAGCGUUAAUCGGAAUUACUGGGCGUAAAGCGUGCGCAGGCGGUUAUAUAAGACAGGUGUGAAAUCCCCGGGCUUAACCUGGGAAUUGCAUCUGUGACUGUAUAGCUAGAGUGUGUCAGAGGGGGGUAGAAUUCCACGUGUAGCAGUGAAAUGCGUAGAUAUGUGGAGGAAUACCAAUGGCGAAGGCAGCCCCCUGGGAUAACACUGACGCUCAUGCACGAAAGCGUGGGGAGCAAACAGGAUUAGAUACCCUGGUAGUCCACGCCCUAAACGAUGCUGACUAGUUGUUCGGGUAUUUUAUCCUGAGUAACGUAGCUAACGCGUGAGUCAGCGCCGCGGAGGUACGGUCGCGAGAGUAAACGUACGAAGAAGUAGUACGGACGUGAGACGNGCGACGGACGACGACGAGGGAGGAGG
This 620-nucleotide ribosomal RNA is filed under the name uncultured bacterium. RNAcentral's name for it is "bacterial SSU rRNA". The stretch from base 1 to 538 matches the Rfam family "Bacterial small subunit ribosomal RNA", at positions 338 to 873 of the family's 1533-position model. The record is from RNAcentral.